RNAcentral lists this ribosomal RNA (389 nucleotides) under uncultured bacterium. Its description in RNAcentral is "bacterial SSU rRNA". It matches the Rfam family "Bacterial small subunit ribosomal RNA", at positions 30 to 420 of the family's 1533-position model. The record is from RNAcentral.
AUUGAACGCUGGCGGCAUGCCUUACACAUGCAAGUCGAACGGCAGCACGGGAGCAAUCCUGGUGGCGAGUGGCGAACGGGUGAGUAAUAUAUCGGAACGUGCCCAGUCGUGGGGAUAACGUAGCGAAAGCUACGCUAAUACCGCAUACGAUCUAUGGAUGAAAGCGGGGGAUCGCAAGACCUCGCGCGAUUGGAGCGGCCGAUAUCAGAUUAGGUAGUUGGUGAGGUAAAGGCUCACCAAGCCGACGAUCUGUAGCUGGUCUGAGAGGACGACCAGCCACACUGGGACUGAGACACGGCCCAGACUCCUACGGAGGCAGCAGUGGGGAAUUUUUGGACAAUGGGCGCAAGCCUGAUCCAGCAAUGCCGCGUGCAGGAUGAAGGCCUCGG